GUACGGAGGGACUAGCGUUGUUCGGAAUUACUGGGCGUAAAGCGCACGUAGGCGGAUUUGUAAGUCAGGGGUGAAAUCCCGGGGCUCAACCUCGGAACUGCCUUUGAUACUGCAAAUCUCGAGUCCGGAAGAGGUGAGUGGAAUUCCUAGUGUAGAGGUGAAAUUCGUAGAUAUUAGGAAGAACACCAGUGGCGAAGGCGGCUCACUGGUCCGGUACUGACGCUGAGGAGCGAAAGCGUGGGGAGCGAACAGG
RNAcentral lists this ribosomal RNA (253 nucleotides) under uncultured bacterium. Its description in RNAcentral is "partial 16S ribosomal RNA". It matches the Rfam family "Bacterial small subunit ribosomal RNA", at positions 523 to 776 of the family's 1533-position model. The record is from RNAcentral.